Molecule: ribosomal RNA, 433 nt
Filed under: uncultured bacterium
Lineage: Bacteria
Description: partial 16S ribosomal RNA
Rfam family: Bacterial small subunit ribosomal RNA
Source: RNAcentral
AACGAACGCUGGCGGCAUGCCUAAUACAUGCAAGUCGAACGAGAUCUUCGGAUCUAGUGGCGCACGGGUGCGUAACGCGUGGGAAUCUGCCCUUGGGUUCGGAAUAACUUCUGGAAACGGAAGCUAAUACCGGAUGAUGACGUAAGUCCAAAGAUUUAUCGCCCAAGGAUGAGCCCGCGUAGGAUUAGGUAGUUGGUGAGGUAAAGGCUCACCAAGCCGACGAUCCUUAGCUGGUCUGAGAGGAUGAUCAGCCACACUGGGACUGAGACACGGCCCAGACUCCUACGGGAGGCAGCAGUAGGGAAUAUUGGACAAUGGGCGAAAGCAUGAUCCAGCAAUGCCGCGUGAGUGAUGAAGGCCUUAGGGUUGUAAAGCUCUUUUACCCGGGAUGAUAAUGACAGUACCGGGAGAAUAAGCUCCGGCUAACUCCGUG